GUCGAACGAGAAAGCCCUUCGGGGUUAUUAAAGUGGCGAACGGGUGAGUAACACGUGGGCAAUCUGCCCUUCGUUGGGGGACAACCGGGGGAAACCCCGGCUAAUACCCCGUAAGCUUGUCGGGUCACAUGGCCUGACAAGGAGAGGUAGCUUCGGCCAUCCGGCGAAGGAGGAGCCCGCGGUACAUUAGCUAGUUGGUGAGGUAACGGCUCACCAAGGCUACGAUGUAUAGCUGGUCUGAGAGGAUGAUCAGCCACACUGGGACUGAGACACGGCCCAGACUCCUACGGGAGGCAGCAGUCGGGAAUCUUGCACAAUGGGCGAAAGCCUGAUGCAGCAACACCGUGUGAGCGAUGAAGGCCCUAGGGUCGUAAAGCUCUGUUUGCGAGGACGAAGGGCGAAGGGUUAAUAGCCCUUAGCCUGACGGUACUUGUACAGAAAGCCCCGGCUAACUACGUGCCAGCAGCCGCGGUAAUACGUAGGGGGCGAGCGUUGUCCGGAAUUAUUGGGCGUAAAGAGCGUGUAGGCGGCUUGGUAAGUCUGCUGUGAAACCUUGGGGCUCAACCCCAAGCGUGCAGUGGAUACUGUCAAGCUAGAGGAUGGUAGAGGCCAGUGGAAUUCCCAGUGUAGCGGUGAAAUGCGCAGAUAUUGGGAGGAACACCAGUAGCGAAGGCGGCUGGCUGGGCCAUUCCUGACGCUGAGACGCGAAAGCUAGGGGAGCGAACAGGAUUAGAUACCCUGGUAGUCCUAGCCGUAAACGAUGAACACUAGUGUGGGGGGGAAGUCGAAUCCCUCCGUGCCGAAGCCAACGCGUUAAGUGUUCCGCCUGGGGAGUACGGCCGCAAGGCUAAAACUCAAAAGAUGACGGGGGCCCGCACAAGCAGCGGAGCAUGUUCUUUAUCGAUGCAACGCGAAGAACUUACUGACUGACAUGCACUGCAGCGCACGGAACUGGGACUUCAGGUUGGCCAAGGGCUGCAUGCUGCCUCAGCUUGGCGGGAAUUUGGUUAAUCCCGAA
Molecule: ribosomal RNA, 1018 nt
Filed under: uncultured Actinomycetes bacterium
Lineage: Bacteria; Bacillati; Actinomycetota; Actinomycetes
Description: bacterial SSU rRNA
Rfam family: Bacterial small subunit ribosomal RNA
Source: RNAcentral